GGCUAAAACAGUCAGGAUGUUGGCUUAGAAGCAGCCAUCAUUUAAAGAAAGCGUAAUAGCUCACUGAUCGAGUCGUCCUGCGCGGAAGAUGUAACGGGGCUAAGCCAGUCACCGAAGCUGCGGAUAUCCGUAAGGAUAUGGUAGGAGAGCGUUCUGUAAGCCUGUGAAGGUGGCUUGUAAAGGCUGCUGGAGGUAUCAGAAGUGCGAAUGCUGACAUGAGUAGCGAUAAUGGGGGUGAAAAGCCCCCACGCCGUAAGCCCAAGGUUUCCUGUUCAACGUUCAUCGGAGCAGG
RNAcentral lists this ribosomal RNA (292 nucleotides) under Rugamonas fusca. Its description in RNAcentral is "partial 23S ribosomal RNA". It matches the Rfam family "Bacterial large subunit ribosomal RNA", at positions 1082 to 1378 of the family's 2925-position model. The record is from RNAcentral. Lineage: Bacteria; Pseudomonadati; Pseudomonadota; Betaproteobacteria; Burkholderiales; Oxalobacteraceae.